Molecule: ribosomal RNA, 1427 nt
Filed under: metagenome
Description: bacterial LSU rRNA
Rfam family: Bacterial large subunit ribosomal RNA
Source: RNAcentral
AGAGAGAGCGUAAGCCGGGAAUGGAAAGACCGGUACAAGCGAGGUAGGAGAAGAGUUGGCAAAUCCGCUCUUUAAUCUGAAGACGUGAUGUGGACUGAAAAUAAGUAGGGAAGCACGUGAGCUGACUGUCAAGAAAAGCCGCUAUUGUUUGCAGGAUACCCGUACCGUAAACCGACACAGGUGGAUGAGGAGAGAAUCCUAAGGCCGACGGGAGAAGCAUUGUUAGGGAACUCGGCAAAAUGACUCCGUAACUUCGGGAGAAGGAGUGCCAGUAAGAUGGCCGCAGAGAAUUGGCCCAAGCAACUGUUUAGCAAAAACACAGGUCUAUGCAAAACCGAAAGGUGAGGUAUAUGGGCUGACGCCUGCCUGUGCUGGAAGGUUAAGGGGAGAGGUUAGCGCAAGCGAAGCUUUGAACUUAAGCCCCAGUAAACGGCGGCCGUAACAAUAACGGUCCUAAGGUAGCGAAAUUCCUUGUCGGGUAAGUUCCGACCCGCACGAAAGGCGUAAUGAUUUGGGCACUGUCUCAACAAUGCACCCGGUGAAAUUGAAAUACCAGUGAAGAUGCUGGUUACCUGCGCCAGGACGGAAAGACCCCAUGGAGCUUUACUCCAGCUUGAUACUGGAUUCGGUAUUGCAUGUACAGGAUAGGUGGGAGGCUAGGAAAUGGUAACGCCAGUUGCCAUGGAGCCAAUGUUGGGAUACCACCCUUGCAGUACUGGGUUUCUAACCAGCAGCCGUGAUCCGGCUGGGGGACAAUGUCAGGUGGGGAGUUUGACUGGGGCGGUCGCCUCCGAAAGGGUAUCGGAGGCGCUCAAAGGUUCCCUCAGAAUGGUUGGAAACCAUUCGAAGAGUGCAAAGGCAGAAGGGAGCUUGACUGCGACACCGACGGGUGGAGCAGGUACGAAAGUAGGACUUAGUGAUCCGGUGGUAUAAAGUGGGAUUGCCAUCGCUCAACGGAUAAAAGCUACCCUAGGAUAACAGGCUUAUCACUCCCAAGAGUUCACAUCGACGGAGUGGUUUGGCACCUCGAUGUCGGCUCAUCGCAUCCUGGGGCUGAAGUAGGUCCCAAGGGUUGGGCUGUUCGCCCAUUAAAGCGGUACGCGAGCUGGGUUCAGAACGUCGUGAGACAGUUCGGUCCCUAUCCGGCGUGGGCGUAAGAUAUUUGAGAGGAGCUGUCCUUAGUACGAGAGGACCGGGAUGGACUGGCCGCUGGUGUAUCUGUUGUCUUACCAAAGGCAUAGCAGAGUAGCCAAGCCGGGAAGGGAUAAACGCUGAAGGCAUCUAAGCGUGAAGCCCCCCUCAAGAUGAGAUAUCUCAUAACGUCAAGUUAGUAAGACCCCUUGAAGACGACGAGGUAGAUAGGGCAGAGGUGGAAGUGUGGUAACACAUGGAGCUGACUGUUACUAAUAGGUCGAGGGCAUAACCAA